RNAcentral lists this unclassified non-coding RNA (236 nucleotides) under uncultured fungus. Its description in RNAcentral is "partial contains 5.8S ribosomal RNA, internal transcribed spacer 2, and large subunit ribosomal RNA". The record is from RNAcentral. Lineage: Eukaryota; Fungi.
AACGCACAUUGCGCCCUUUGGUAUUCCUUAGGGCAUGCCUGUUCGAGCGUCAUUUUCACCUUCAGGCACGGCUUGGUGUUGGGCGUUUGUCCCUCGCGGACUCGCCUCGAAACUAUUGGCAGCCACUCCAGCGGCUUUGAGCGCAGCAGAAUUGCGUCUCUUGCGGCGAGGGGGGCAUCCAUAAGCAUACUUUUUAUUUUGACCUCGGAUCAGGUAGGGAUACCCGCUGAACUUAA